This is a small nucleolar RNA of Homo sapiens (human), 66 nucleotides long. The record is from RefSeq and is marked provisional. Lineage: Eukaryota; Metazoa; Chordata; Mammalia; Primates; Hominidae.
UUUAUGUGAUGAUUGGGAUAAGUUGCCACUUUAUUGGCCCAUUAAAACCCAAAGAAACUGAGUGCU